AACGAACGCUGGCGGCAUGCCUAACACAUGCAAGUCGAACGAUGCUUUCGUGCUUAGUGGCGCACGGGUGCGUAACGCGUGGGAAUCUGCCCUUGGGUUCGGAAUCACAGAGAGAAAUUUCUGCUAAUACCGGAGGAUGUCUUCGGACCAAAGAUUUAUCGCUCAGGGAUGAGCCCGCGUAGGAUUAGCUAGUUGGUGGGGUAAUGGCCUACCAAGGCGACGAUCCUUAGCUGGUCGGUGAGCAUGCUCAGCCAGACUGGGAAUGAGACACGGCCCAGACUCCGACGGGAAGCAGCAGUGGGGAAUAUUGGAGGAGGGGCGCAAGCCUGAUCCAGCAAUGCGGCGUGAGUGAUGAAGGCCUUAGGGUUGUAAAGCUCUUUUACCCGGGAUGAUAAUGACAGUACCGGGAGAAUAAGCUCCGGCUAACUACGUG
RNAcentral lists this ribosomal RNA (433 nucleotides) under uncultured bacterium. RNAcentral's name for it is "partial 16S ribosomal RNA". It matches the Rfam family "Bacterial small subunit ribosomal RNA", at positions 29 to 507 of the family's 1533-position model. The record is from RNAcentral.